GUCCUGGCCCUAAACGUUGGGAACUAGGUAGUAGCCCGUGCAUGGGGUUACUGCCGGAGCAAAAGUGCUAAGUUCCCCGCCUGGGGAGUAUGGUCGCAAGGCUGAAACUCAAAGGAAUUGACGGGGGCUCACACAAGCGGUGGAGCAUGUGGCUCAAUUCGAGGCUACGCGAAGAACCUUAUCCCGGACUUGACAUGUGCGAAAGCGUCUGCAGGUAGGACCCGGAAACGGGAACGAACGGUAUCCAAUCCGGAAGCAGAUACAGGUGCUGCAUGGCUGUCGU
Molecule: ribosomal RNA, 283 nt
Filed under: uncultured bacterium
Lineage: Bacteria
Description: partial 16S ribosomal RNA
Rfam family: Bacterial small subunit ribosomal RNA
Source: RNAcentral